UGCAUAUCAAAUAAGCGGAGGAAAAGAAACCAACCGGGAUUGCCUUAGUAACGGCGAGUGAAGCGGCAAAAGCUCAAAUUUGAAAUCUGGCGUCUUCGACGUCCGAGUUGUAAUUUGAAGAAGGCGACUUUGUAGCUGGUCCUUGUCUAUGUUCCUUGGAACAGGACGUCAUAGAGGGUGAGAAUCCCGUGUGGCGAGGAUCCCAGUUAUUUGUAAAGUGCUUUCGACGAGUCGAGUUGUUUGGGAAUGCAGCUCUAAGUGGGUGGUAAAUUCCAUCUAAAGCUAAAUAUUGGCGAGAGACCGAUAGCGAACAAGUACAGUGAUGGAAAGAUGAAAAGAACUUUGAAAAGAGAGUGAAAAAGUACGUGAAAUUGUUGAAAGGGAAGGGCAUUUGAUCAGACAUGGCGUUUGCUUCGGCUUUCGCUGGGCCAGCAUCAGUUUUAGCGGUUGGAUAAAUCCUCGGGAAUGUGGCUCUGCUUCGGUAGAGUGUUAUAGCCCGUGGGAAUACAGCCAGCUGGGACUGAGGAUUGCGACUUUUGUCAAGGAUGCUGGCGUAAUGGUUAAAUGCCGCCCGUCUUGAACCACGGAACCCA
RNAcentral lists this ribosomal RNA (593 nucleotides) under Kluyveromyces marxianus. RNAcentral describes it as "partial large subunit ribosomal RNA". It matches the Rfam family "Eukaryotic large subunit ribosomal RNA", at positions 37 to 664 of the family's 3401-position model. RNAcentral also lists the same sequence under 1 other name. Lineage: Eukaryota; Fungi; Ascomycota; Saccharomycetes; Saccharomycetales; Saccharomycetaceae. The record is from RNAcentral.